AGGAGACUUCGGUCUCUGAGUAGAGCGGCGCACGGGUGAGUAACGCGUGGAUGAUCUACCCUUGAGUUCGGGAUAACGGUGCGAAAGCGCCGCUAAUACCGUAUAACAAUCCAUUUCAUCGUGGGUUCAAAGCAGGCCUCUUCAUGAAAGCUUGCGCUUGGGGAUGAGUCCGCGUCCCAUUAGCUUGUUGGCGGGGUAACGGCCCACCAAGGCUACGAUGGGUAGCUGGUCUGAGAGGAUGAUCAGCCACACUGGAACUGAAACACGGUCCAGACUCCUACGGGAGGCAGCAGUGGGGAAUAUUGCGCAAUGGGGGAAACCCUGACGCAGCGACGUCGUGUGAGGGAAGAAGGCCUUCGGGUCGUAAACCUCUGUCAGAAGGGAAGAACAUCCGGGAGUCGAACAGCCUCCCGGCCUGACGGUACCUUCAGAGGAAGCGCCGGCUAACUCCGUGCCAGCAGCCGCGGUAAUACAGAGGGCGCAAGCGUUAAUCGGAAUCACUGGGCGUAAAGCGUGCGUAGGCUGUUCGAUAAGUCAGACGUGAAAUCCCUCGGCUCAACCGGGGAACUGCGUUUGAUACUGUUGAACUAGAGUCCUGGAGAGGGUGGCGGAAUUCCUGGUGUAGGAGUGAAAUCCGUAGAUAUCAGGAGGAACACCGGUGGCGAAGGCGGCCACCUGGACAGGUACUGACGCUGAGGUACGAAAGCGUGGGGAGCAAACAGGAUUAGAUACCCUGGUAGUCCACGCGGUAAACGAUGGAUGCUAGGUGUCGGGGAGCGAUCUUCGGCGCCGCAGCUAACGCAUUAAGCAUCC
This 813-nucleotide ribosomal RNA is filed under the name uncultured bacterium. RNAcentral's name for it is "bacterial SSU rRNA". It matches the Rfam family "Bacterial small subunit ribosomal RNA", at positions 72 to 869 of the family's 1533-position model. The record is from RNAcentral.